This 1008-nucleotide long non-coding RNA is filed under the name Marmota monax (woodchuck). The record is from RNAcentral. Lineage: Eukaryota; Metazoa; Chordata; Mammalia; Rodentia; Sciuridae.
GUUCAUCACAAAUAUCAUUUGUUUUUCAACUGAAACGGAAUUGAAUUUAUAUAGGUUAAUUUUGAGAGGUAUCAUUUUACCAUCUUCCAUAUGUUAAUGUGGUAUGUCUUUUUAUUCAAGUCUUUAUGUGUUUGUAUUUAUAUUCUACUUAUUACCUUCAAUAUUUCUUAGUUUUUGAACGAAAUAGACAUCUUAGGAACUACAACUCUGAGAUGUAGAAGAUGUCAUCUGCAUAGACUAGGGCUCAUUGAAGGCCAUUCAGUAUGUUUUGAGAUUGAUGUUACCAUUUCUUCUAGAAGUUCCAAGGAACCUGCCUUAUUUAUAAAAAUAUUUUAUAUUCCUGGUUUGGGUAAGUGUACAAGUGUGAGCUAAUUUUAGGAAAAUUGCAUAGUGAGCCAUUUGUUUUGGUAAUGUCAGCAUCCUCUUGACUUUUAUCUUUCCAUGUAGAAGUACUUCCUUCAUCCUGUAGUUUCCUGGAGAUUUAGAGCUCAUUGUCAAUAGGAUUUGUAGCACUUGAUGAUCUUUAUAUCUUCUAAUAGAGAGCUAACUGGUUGUCUUCCUGGAAAGUAUUUAGAACUAGGGAGGUAAGAAUUCUAUUGUGUUUGAUGGUUUUAUUUCUGUGUUAAGGACAAUUCUGAUAGGGAGUUAAAGGACUUGCAUGAUACAGAGAGUGAUCUGACCUUAAAUCCUCUGAGAAUCAUCAUAGGAAUUAGUACUGUUUAUUUUGUAGGGAAGAACUCAAAAGAGUUAAGUGCUGUGUUUUCAGGUCAGGGAUGGUUGGAUUUUGCUGCUUUUUCCAGGCAGUUGUAAUUAAUAGAAAAGUAGAUUUAAGAACUGUUUAGCUAGCACAGUGGCAUACCUAUAAUCCCUGCUGAGGCAGGAGGAUCUUAAAUUCAAGGCCAACCUUAGCAACUUAGUGAGACCUAAGCAACUCAGUGGGAAAAGGGUUGGCGAUGUACCAAAGUGGUUACAUAUCCCUGGGUUCAAUCCUUGGUACCAAAAAAAAAA